This 239-nucleotide ribosomal RNA is filed under the name uncultured bacterium. RNAcentral's name for it is "partial 16S ribosomal RNA". It matches the Rfam family "Bacterial small subunit ribosomal RNA", at positions 15 to 235 of the family's 1533-position model. The record is from RNAcentral.
GAUCCUGGCUCAGGAUGAACGCUGGCGGCGUGCUUAACACAUGCAAGUCGAACGAAACACCUUAUUUGAUUUUCUUCGGAACUGAAGAUUUGGUGAUUGAGUGGCGGACGGGUGAGUAACGCGUGGGUAACCUGCCCUGUACAGGGGGAUAACAGUCAGAAAUGACUGCUAAUGCCGCAUAAGCGCACAGGGCCGCAUGGCCCGGUGUGAAAACUCCGGUGGUAUGAGAUGGACUCGCG